CCUACGGGGGGCAGCAGUGGGGAAUAUUGCACAAUGGGGGGAACCCUGAUGCAGCAACGCCGCGUGAAGGAAGAAGGUUUUCGGAUCGUAAACUUCUAUCAAUAGGGAAGAAAGAAAUGACGGUACCUAAAUAAGAAGCCCCGGCUAACUACGUGCCAGCAGCCGCGGUAAUACGUAGGGGGCAAGCGUUAUCCGGAAUUACUGGGUGUAAAGGGAGCGUAGGCGGCAUGAUAAGUUAGAUGUGAAAGCCCGGGGCUUAACCCCGCGGAUUGCAUUUAAAACUAUCAAGCUAGAGUACAGGAGAGGAAAGCGGAAUUCCUAGUGUAGCGGUGAAAUGCGUAGAUAUUAGGAAGAACACCAGUGGCGAAGGCGGCUUUCUGGACUGAAACUGACGCUGAGGCUCGAAAGCGUGGGGAGCGAACAGGAUUAGAUACCCUAGUAGUC
Molecule: ribosomal RNA, 444 nt
Filed under: uncultured Lachnospiraceae bacterium
Lineage: Bacteria; Bacillati; Bacillota; Clostridia; Lachnospirales; Lachnospiraceae
Description: bacterial SSU rRNA
Rfam family: Bacterial small subunit ribosomal RNA
Source: RNAcentral